Molecule: long non-coding RNA, 1544 nt
Filed under: Canis lupus familiaris (dog)
Lineage: Eukaryota; Metazoa; Chordata; Mammalia; Carnivora; Canidae
Description: lncRNA (ENSCAFG00040004168.1)
Source: RNAcentral
UUACUAGCUUCAUCAUUACCAUAGUUGGACCAGUGAAAACAGGACCAUAGAUUAAUUUGAGCAGACCUAUAUUUUGGUUGUUUCUGUUACUUUCCUCUUUUGCUUUCCAUAGUCAAACCAUUUCUGCACUGGUAUAGACAGGAUGGAAGACACUUGCUGGAGAGGAGAAAGCCAUUCGAUUUGGGAUUAUUAGAGUGAAACCUGUCAACCCCACGAAGAACAGUUUUAUCUGGACAUUGCAGAGGAUAUCCUAUAUGAAUGGAAGAACAUGGAUCUGAUGCUUGGCAGCAGCAGCAGCACCGUCCUGAUGAUAAGGGCAAGCAAAGACAACUGUAGAGACACUGGUGCCGGUGACAUUAAGUCCUCCGUGUCCGGUGGAAAAACCCUCUUAAAGAAUGCAGAUGCCCAAGGAGAGGAAACCUUUUAUGCAUACCUUGUCAUUUAUCGGCAUUGAUGACUGGCUUGCUGAGAGGCAGUUUUCAUUGAGCAAUCACUGAGAGGAACCAACGUCUGCCCAGAGAAAGCAGUAGAAGAGAUCCAGAGCUACUACCUCUUAGUGGCACUGAUCCACAGGGCUCUGGGUUGAUUUGGAAUGAGCUGUGACUCCUGAAGAAUUCUCAUAGAUUCCUGCCUGGGCGGGAGUGGGAGGCAGGAUAAUGUCCAUACCCAUGUUCUAAUCCCUGGACCUGUUAAUAUAUCACAUUACAUGGCCAAGGGGAAUUAAGGUAGCAGAGGAAUUAAGGUAGCUAAUUAGCUAGCUUGAUGAUAGGGAGAUUAUCCUGAAUUAUCUGGAUGACCCCAAUGACAUCACAGGAUCCUUCAAAGAAAAAAAUGAAGGCAAAAGAAGGAGAUAGAGAAUUGGAAGGAGAUGGGAAGACAGUACCAGGUAGAAAUGAUCUAAGGCUCAAGACCAUUGCUAGUUUGAAGGUGGAAGAACGGCUCACAGUUAAGGAAUGCGCAUGACCUCCAAAGCUGGAAAAGGCAAGGAAAUGGAUUCUCCCCUCCAGACAGGAAUGCAGCCUGACCCACAGCUUGUUUUCAGGCCAGUGAGACCCAUGUCAGACUUCUGUCCUGGAGAACUGGAGGCUAAUAAAUUUGUGUUGUUUUAAGUCAUUAUGUUUGUGGUAAAAAUAUUUAUUCAUUAAUUGAUUCCCUUAUUCAUUCAGCAAAUAUUACUGAGCUUCUACUUUGAGUUGAGCACUUUUAUAGAUGUUGGGGAUAUAGUAAGAAUAAAACAGAUUUAAAGUAACCUCUAUGGAGUGCCUGGAUGGCUCGGUUGUUAAGAGUCUGCCUUUGGCUCAAGUCAUGAUCCCUGGGUCCUGGGAUCAAGCCCAAGCCUGGCAUCAGGCUCUCCGCUCAGCAGGGAGUCUGCUUCUCCCUCCCCCUCUGCCCACUCCCCCAGCUUGCGCUUGCUCUCUUUUGCUCUAUUUCAAAUAAAUAAAUAACUUUUUAAAAAAAGAUUUUAUUUAUUUAUUUGACUAAUAGAGAGUGCAAGCAGGGGGAAUGGCAGGCAGAAGGAGAGAGAGAGGGAGAAGCAGACUCCC